This 406-nucleotide ribosomal RNA is filed under the name uncultured bacterium. RNAcentral describes it as "partial 16S ribosomal RNA". It matches the Rfam family "Bacterial small subunit ribosomal RNA", at positions 30 to 526 of the family's 1533-position model. The record is from RNAcentral.
AUUGAACGCUGGCGGCAGGCCUAACACAUGCAAGUCGAACGAGUGGCGGACGGGUGAGUAAUGUCUGGGAAACUGCCCGACGGAGGGGGAUAACUACUGGAAACGGUAGCUAAUACCGCCUACCAUCGGAUGUGCCCCGAUGGGAUUAGCGAGUAGGUGGGGUAACGGCUCACCUAGGCGACGAUCACUAGCUGGUCGGAGAGGAUGACCAGCCACACUGGAACUGGAAAACGGUCCAGACUCCUACGGGAGGCAGCAGUGGGGAAUAUUGCACAAUGGGCGCAAGCCUGAUGCAGCCAUGCCGCGUGUAUGAAGAAGGCCUGCGGGUUGUAAAGUACUUUCAGCGAGGAGGCGUUACUCGCAGAAGAAGCACCGGCUAACUCCGUGCCAGCAGCCGCGGUAAUAC